Molecule: ribosomal RNA, 1802 nt
Filed under: Liolope copulans
Lineage: Eukaryota; Metazoa; Platyhelminthes; Trematoda; Strigeidida; Liolopidae
Description: SSU rRNA
Rfam family: Eukaryotic small subunit ribosomal RNA
Source: RNAcentral
UGCUACAUGGAUAACUGUAGUAAUUCUAGAGCUAAUACAUGCCACUAUGCCCUGACCCGCAAGGGAACGGGUGGAUUUAUUAGAACAGAACCAACCGGGGAUGCUUUUGUGUCCCUGUUGAUUUCUGUGAUGACUCUGGAUAACUUUACUGAUCGCAGUCGGCCUUGUGUCGGCGACGGAUCUUUCAAAUGUCUGCCCUAUCAACUUACGAUGGUAGGUGACCUGCCUACCACGGUGAUAACGGGUAACGGGGAAUCAGGGUUCGAUUCCGGAGAGGGAGCCUGAGAAACGGCUACCACAUCCAAGGAAGGCAGCAGGCGCGAAAAUUACCCACUCCCGGCACGGGGAGGUAGUGACGAAAAAUACGGAUACGGGACUCCUACGAGGCUCCGUAAUUCGAAUGAGUACAAUCUAAAUCCUUUAACGAGGACCAAUUGGAGGGCAAGUCUGGUGCCAGCAGCCGCGGUAACUCCAGCUCCAAAAGCGUAUAUUAAAGUUGCUGCAGUUAAAAAGCUCGUAGUUGGAUCUGGGUCGCGUGAUUGCAUGCCGUCGCUCGUUCUCCUGACCUGGUUGCGGCCGGGUCUGGUGUUCGGGUCGGUGUAGUGGUUGCGCAGCCUUUCAGCCGUGUCUGUUUUAAACGGGUGCUGGCUGGGUCGGUGAGCUUGCUUGUCGGCCUGUCGGCAUGCUUCCGGAUGCCUUUAAACGGGUGUCGGGAGCGGACGGCGCUUUUACUUUGAACAAAUUUGAGUGCUCAAAGCAGGCCUGUGUGCCUGAAAAAUCUUGCAUGGAAUAAUGGAAUAGGACUUCGGUUCUAUUUUGUUGGUUUUCGGAUCCGAAGUAAUGGUUAAGAGGGACAGACGGGGGCAUUUGUAUGGUGGUGUUAGAGGUGAAAUUCUUGGAUCGCCGCCAGACAAACUACAGCGAAAGCAUUUGCCAAGAAUGUUUUCAUUGAUCAGGAGCGAAAGUCAGAGGUUCGAAGACGAUCAGAUACCGUCCUAGUUCUGACCAUAAACGAUGCCAACUGACGAUCCGUGGUGGUUCUUUAAUUGGCCCCGCGGGCAGUCCCCGGGAAACCCUUAAGUCUUUGGGCUCCGGGGGAAGUAUGGUUGCAAAGCUGAAACUUAAAGGAAUUGACGGAAGGGCACCACCAGGAGUGGAGCCUGCGGCUUAAUUCGACUCAACACGGGAAAACUCACCCGGCCCGGACACUGUGAGGAUUGACAGAUUGAUAGCUCUUUCUUGAUUCGGUGGUUGGUGGUGCAUGGCCGUUCUUAGUUGGUGGAGCGAUUUGUCUGGUUAAUUCCGAUAACGAACGAGACUUUGACCUACUAAAUAGUAUGCCUGUCCCCUGUGCGCGUGCAGGUUGCGGCUUUCUAUUGCCUCUUCGUGGGGUGAUUAUGGGGUCGUGGAUCGGCGCGUACGGUGCGGGUGAUUACUUCUUAGAGGGACAAGCGGCGAAGCUAGUCGCACGAAAUUGAGCAAUAACAGGUCUGUGAUGCCCUUAGAUGUCCGGGGCCGCACGUGCGCUACAAUGACGGUGUCAGCGAGUCUGGAAACCUGGUCUGAAAAGAUUGGGCAAACUGUUCCAUCACCGUCGUGACUGGGAUCGGGGCUUGCAAUUAUUCCCCGUGAACGAGGAAUUCCUGGUAAGUGCAAGUCAUAAGCUUGCGCUGAUUACGUCCCUGCCCUUUGUACACACCGCCCGUCGCUACUACCGAUUGAAUGGUUUAGCAAGGUCCUCGGAUUGGUGUCGUUGUAGUGGCUUCGGCUGCUCGACCGGCGCUGAGAAGACGACCAAACUG